GAUGAACGCUGGCGGCGUGCCUAAUACAUGCAAGUCGAGCGAACGGACGAGAAGCUUGCUUCUCUGAUGUUAGCGGCGGACGGGUGAGUAACACGUGGAUAACCUACCUAUAAGACUGGGAUAACUUCGGGAAACCGGAGCUAAUACCGGAUAAUAUUUUGAACCGCAUGGUUCAAAAGUGAAAGACGGUCUUGCUGUCACUUAUAGAUGGAUCCGCGCUGCAUUAGCUAGUUGGUAAGGUAACGGCUUACCAAGGCAACGAUGCAUAGCCGACCUGAGAGGGUGAUCGGCAACACGGGAACUGAGACACGGCCCAACCCCCGAGGGGGGGCAGCAGGAGGGACUCUCCCGCAAGGGGCGAAGGCCUGACGGAGCAACGCCGCGGGAGGAAUGAAGGUCUUCGGAUCGUAAAACUCUUUUAUGAGGAAAGAAAAUUUGUGAAAGAAACUGUCCACAUCUUGCCGGACCCUAAUCAGAAAGCCGGGGCUAACUCCGUC
Molecule: ribosomal RNA, 497 nt
Filed under: uncultured bacterium
Lineage: Bacteria
Description: partial 16S ribosomal RNA
Rfam family: Bacterial small subunit ribosomal RNA
Source: RNAcentral